RNAcentral lists this ribosomal RNA (490 nucleotides) under uncultured bacterium. RNAcentral's name for it is "partial 16S ribosomal RNA". It matches the Rfam family "Bacterial small subunit ribosomal RNA", at positions 28 to 507 of the family's 1533-position model. The record is from RNAcentral.
GAUGAACGCUAGCGAUAGGCUUAACACAUGCAAGUCGAGGGGCAGCAUGGUCUUAGCUUGCUAAGACUGAUGGCGACCGGCGCACGGGUGCGUAACGCGUAUGCAACUUGCCUCACAGAGGGGGAUAACCCGUCGAAAGACGGACUAAUACCGCGUACACUCCAUCUUGGGCAUCCAAGGUAGGGGAAAUGAAAUUCGCUGUGAGAUAGGCAUGCGUCCCAUUAGCUAGUUGGUGAGGUAACGGCUCACCAAGGCGACGAUGGGUAGGGGAACUGAGAGGUUGAACCCCCACACUGGUACUGAGACACGGACCAGACUCCUACGGGAGGCAGCAGUGAGGAAUAUUGGUCAAUGGGCGAGAGCCUGAACCAGCCAAGUCGCGUGAAGGAUGACUGUCUUAUGGAUUGUAAACUUCUUUUAUACGGGAAUAACAAGAGUCACGUGUGACUCCCUGCAUGUACCGUAUGAAUAAGCAUCGGCUAACUCCGUG